RNAcentral lists this ribosomal RNA (508 nucleotides) under uncultured bacterium. RNAcentral describes it as "partial 16S ribosomal RNA". It matches the Rfam family "Bacterial small subunit ribosomal RNA", at positions 28 to 507 of the family's 1533-position model. The record is from RNAcentral.
GACGAACGCUGGCGGCGUGCCUAAUACAUGCAAGUCGAACGCUUCUUUCCUCCCGAGUGCUUGCACUCAAUUGGAAAGAGGAGUGGCGGACGGGUGAGCAACACGUGUGUAACCUACCCAUCAGAGGGGGAUAACACUUGGAAACAGGUGCUAAUACCGCAUAACAGUUUAUGCCGCAUGGCAUAAGAGUGAAAGGCGCUUUCGGGUGUCGCUGAUGGAUGGACCCGCGGUGCAUUAGCUAGUUGGUGGGGUAACGGCUCACCAAGGCCACGAUGCAUAGCCGACCUGAGAGGGUGAUCGGCCACACUGGGACUGAGACACGGCCCAGACUCCUACGGGAGGCAGCAGUAGGGAAUCUUCGGCAAUGGACGAAAGUCUGACCGAGCAACGCCGCGUGAGUGAAGAAGGUUUUCGGAUCGUAAAACUCUGUUGUUAGAGAAGAACAAGGACGUUAGUAACUGAACGUCCCCUGACGGUAUCUAACCAGAAAGCCACGGCUAACUACGUG